RNAcentral lists this ribosomal RNA (805 nucleotides) under Mycolicibacterium monacense. RNAcentral's name for it is "bacterial SSU rRNA". It matches the Rfam family "Bacterial small subunit ribosomal RNA", at positions 84 to 899 of the family's 1533-position model. Lineage: Bacteria; Bacillati; Actinomycetota; Actinomycetes; Mycobacteriales; Mycobacteriaceae. The record is from RNAcentral.
GGGGUACUCGAGUGGCGAACGGGUGAGUAACACGUGGGUGAUCUGCCCUGCACUUUGGGAUAAGCCUGGGAAACUGGGUCUAAUACCGAAUACACCCUGCUGGUCGCAUGGCCUGGUGGGGGAAAGCUUUUGCGGUGUGGGAUGGGCCCGCGGCCUAUCAGCUUGUUGGUGAGGUUACGGCUCACCAAGGCGACGACGGGUAGCCGGCCUGAGAGGGUGACCGGCCACACUGGGACUGAGAUACGGCCCAGACUCCUACGGGAGGCAGCAGUGGGGAAUAUUGCACAAUGGGCGCAAGCCUGAUGCAGCGACGCCGCGUGGGGGAUGACGGCCUUCGGGUUGUAAACCUCUUUCAGUAGGGACGAAGCGCAAGUGACGGUACCUACAGAAGAAGGACCGGCCAACUACGUGCCAGCAGCCGCGGUAAUACGUAGGGUCCGAGCGUUGUCCGGAAUUACUGGGCGUAAAGAGCUCGUAGGUGGUUUGUCGCGUUGUUCGUGAAAACCGGGGGCUUAACCCUCGGCGUGCGGGCGAUACGGGCAGACUUGAGUACUGCAGGGGAGACUGGAAUUCCUGGUGUAGCGGUGGAAUGCGCAGAUAUCAGGAGGAACACCGGUGGCGAAGGCGGGUCUCUGGGCAGUAACUGACGCUGAGGAGCGAAAGCGUGGGGAGCGAACAGGAUUAGAUACCCUGGUAGUCCACGCCGUAAACGGUGGGUACUAGGUGUGGGUUUCCUUCCUUGGGAUCCGUGCCGUAGCUAACGCAUUAAGUACCCCGCCUGGGGAGUACGGCCGCAAGGCUAAAA